This 500-nucleotide ribosomal RNA is filed under the name uncultured bacterium. Its description in RNAcentral is "partial 16S ribosomal RNA". It matches the Rfam family "Bacterial small subunit ribosomal RNA", at positions 30 to 523 of the family's 1533-position model. The record is from RNAcentral.
AUUGAACGCUGGCGGAAUGCUUUACACAUGCAAGUCGAACGGCAGCACGGGGGCAACCCUGGUGGCGAGUGGCGAACGGGUGAGUAAUACAUCGGAACGUGCCCAGUCGUGGGGGAUAACGUAGCGAAAGUUACGCUAAUACCGCAUACGAUCUACGGAUGAAAGCGGGGGACCGUAAGGCCUCGCGCGAUUGGAGCGGCCGAUGUCAGAUUAGGUAGUUGGUGAGGUAAAGGCUCACCAAGCCGACGAUCUGUAGCUGGUCUGAGAGGACGACCAGCCACACUGGGACUGAGACACGGCCCAGAAUCCUACGGGAGGAAGCAGUGGGGAAUUUUGGACAAUGGGCGCAAGCCUGAUCCAGCCAUUCCGCGUGCAGGACGAAGGCCUUCGGGUUGUAAACUGCUUUUGUACGGAAUGAAAAGGCUCUGGUUAAUACCUGGGGCUCAUGACGGUACCGUAAGAAUAAGCACCGGCUAACUACGUGCCAGCCGCCGCAGUAA